RNAcentral lists this non-coding RNA (22 nucleotides) under Arabidopsis thaliana (thale cress). The record is from RNAcentral. Lineage: Eukaryota; Viridiplantae; Streptophyta; Magnoliopsida; Brassicales; Brassicaceae.
CGAGGCGGUUACGUGUGCUUCA